UAAGUUGGUCAAAAUUGUCACUAAUUUUAAUUUGAAGACUUACUCUUUGUUACCCAACACUUAAUUUUCUCGGGUUAGAGCUAAAAGGAUAUCUGUUCUAAUUCAAUAGGUUUCUGAUUGAUCAAUUGUAAUGGCGGAUCAAGGGAAGUGGAAAUUUGAAGAGGAAUCUAGUGUUAAUAUCAAGAGUUAUGCGGUAAAAGAGUAUGAUGAUUCGAAUACCGAGAGAAAUUGGGUAGAGUAGUGUGAUGAUUCUGAUCAUGAUAUAUAUGUUGGAAAAAGCAGGAUGAGCCUAGAAAUUUAGAAUGAGUAUAAGAGGCAGGUGGCUGAGAGUGAGGUUAGACUGGGAGAUAAGGCAAGAGCAAGAAAAAAAAUUAAAAUUAAGGGCAAAUAAUGGCUACCAAUGCAGUAUCUUCCACAUCUCAGCAACUAAUACCCAUCUUUAAUGGAGAUAAAUAUGAAUUCUGGAGCACAAAGAUGAAAACGUUCAAGUCUCAAGAAUUGUGGGAUUUGGUGGAGAAUGGCUAUGCUGAGGAAGAUGAAGCACAAAGGUUGCGGGAGAGAAAAAAGGACUCUAAGGCAUUGUUCUACAUCCAACAAGCUAUGCAUGACUCGGUUUUUUCCAGAAUUGCUGCUGCAAAAACUUCAAAGCAGGCAUGGGAUAUUCUGAAGAAAGAAUUCCAUGGCCCAACAAAGGUAAUGACUAUUAAACUCCAGUUAUUCCGAAGUGAUUUCAAAAAUUCAUUCAUGAAAAAUAGUGAAUCUAUACAACAACAACAAAAACAAUAACAAACCCAGUGUAUUCCCACAAAGUGGGGUCUGGGGAGGGUAAAAUAUAUGAAGUCCAUACCACUACCUCCAAAGAAGUGCAAUUGUUAAUCAAAUGAAGGUAUGAUGACAAAGAUACUGAUGAAACUGUAGUUUCUAAAGUUCUAAGAAGUCUUAAUAAAAGAUUUGAUCAUGUCAUAGCUAACAUUGAGGAAUCCCAUCAUUUAUCUGAUUAUGGUUUUGAUGAAUUGAUGAAUUCCUUACAAGCUCAUGAGGUUGGAUUGAAUGCCUCUCAAGAAAAAGGGGAAGAGAAGGCAUUUCAGAUCAAGGGAGAGUGUUCUUUCAAAGGCAAAUUAGAAGUCUCAAAUGCCAGAGGAUGCAGAGGCAGAGGUAGUUUUCGUGGUCGAGGUCGUGGCAGAGGAUGCGAUCAAUUUGGUGGUGAGCACCGACAGUUCAAGAGCAAUAUUUAGUGCUGCUAUUACAGAAAAAUGGGGAACAAGGAAGUUGAUUGCUGGACUAAAUAGAAGUAUGAACAACAAUAGGCAAAUUUUAUUGAGAAAUAACAAGAGGAAGGUAAUCUGUUCAUGGCUCACUCCUCAGUAGAUGUUGGUUCAGAUGAUGUUUGGAUCAUUGAUAGUGGUUGCUCCAACCACAUGUUUGGCAGAAGGUUGUUGUUCAAAGAUCUUGAUGAAUCAGAGAAGUCAGAAGUUUGGCUUGGGAAUGACAAGGCAAUGAAAGUCGAAGGGAAAGGUAUAAUUUCUCUAAAAACUUCUCAUGGUAAUGUAAAACUUCUCCAUGUUGUGCAGUGUGUUCCUUGUCUAGACCAUAACUUGUUGAGUGUUGGGCAACUGAUAACUUGUGGAUACUCCAUUCUGGUUGAUGACAAUUCUUUUAGAAUUCAAGAUAAAAAAAUAGGAUACAAAAUUGUUGACAUUCAAAUGACUCAAAAUGGAAUGUUUCCUCUUAAAGUUUCUGAUGUUAAAAGUUUUGCAUUAGUUACCAAAGAUAGUACCGAAACUAAUUUAUGGCAUUUGAGGUAUGGUCAUUUGAAUGUAAAGGGUUUGCAUUUAUUAGGUUGUAGAAAUAUGGUUCUAGGUUUGACUAGAAUUGAUGCACUUGAAUUCUGUGAAGGAUGUGUGUAUGGAAAACAAAAUAGAAAUUCAUUUCCUGUAGGCAAGUCUUGGAGAGCUUCUGGUUGUCUUGAACUAGUGCAUGCUGAUCUAUGGUCCUAUGAGUGUUGAGUCCUUAGGUGGAAGUCAAUAUUUUCUACUUUUUAUGGAUGAUUAUAGUCGAAUGAGUUGGGUAUAUUUCUUGAAGUUCAAAUCUGAAACAUUUGAGAAUUUCAAGAAAUAUAAGUUUUUUGUUGAGAAACAAAGUGGUUGUAGAAUCAAGACUCUUCGGUCAGAUAGAGGUGGUGAAUUUAUGUCAAAUGAAUUCAAUACUUUUUGUGAGGAAAAUGGUAUUCACAAAGACCUCACAACACCAUAUACACCAGAGCAGAAUGGUGUAGCCGAAUGAAAGAACCGAACGGUUGUUGAAAUAGGUAGAAGCAUGAUGCAAGCCAGAGGUGUACCAAAGUGUUUCUAGGGUAAAGCUAUUGCUACUGCUAUCUGCGUACUGAACAUUUCAACCACCAAGGUUGUUCUUAAUCAAAUACCAUAUGAAGCAUGGAGAGGUAACAAGCCAAAGCUAAGCCACUUACGUGUCUUUGGAUAUGCACAUCAUCAAGAUAUUGAUUGUGAUGAAACGUUUUCACCUGUUGCUCAUUUUGAAAUGAUUAGAAUACUCUUAUCUUUGGUUGCUAAAUUGAACUGGCCCAUUUAUCAAUUUGAUGUUAAAUCUUCAUUCCUAAAUGGGGAUUUGGAAGAGGAAGUUUAUGUUUCCCAACCUGAGGGUUUUGUUAUUAGUGGCAAUGAGAGCAAAGUUUACAAAUUCAAAAAGGCACUUUAUGGGCUAAAAUAAGCGCCGAGGGUAUAGUACAACAAAAUUAACUCGUACUUUCUGAGGUAUGGAUUUGAAAGAAGUGAAAAUGAGCCUACGCUGUAUGUAAAGAAACAAGGUAUGAGUAAUUUUUUGAUAGUUUAUCUCUAUGUGGAUGACAUGAUUUAUAUGGGAUCAUGUGAAACUUUAGUUGCUGAAGUAUUUUGCAAUACUUUCUUGGUCUUCAAGUGAAACAGGUAGACAAUGGGCUGUUUAUUUCUCAAAUGAAGCAGGCAAAAGACCUCUUGUUUAAGUUUGGUAUGCAUAACUGUAAAGUGGUUGCCACACCCAUGAAUGCAAAUGAAAAUUUUCAGCUUGAAGUGGCACAGAUCUUGCCUAUCCUAGUCACGACAGAAGAUUGAUUGGAGGUUUGAACUACCUAACACAUACUCGUCCUGAUAUCAUGUUUUCUGUGAGUAUAUUAUCUAGGUAUAUGCAUUGUCCUACCAAGCAACAUCUUGGUGCUGCCAAAAGAGUGUUGCGUUAUGUUUCUGGGACUGUUGACUUCAGGAUUUGGUACUCCAAUAUUGCAGAUUUCAGCUUGAUAGGGUACAGUGAUAGUGAUUGGGCAGGAAGUAUAGAUAACAUAAAGAGUACUUCUGGAAAUUUUUUCAGUUUAGGAUCUGGAGUGAUUUCUUGGAGUUUAAAGAAACAGGAUAUGGUUGCAUUAUCGUCAUCAAAAGCAGAGUAUGUUGCUGUAACUUCAGCAGCAUGUAAGGCCAUAUGGCUACGAAGAUUGUUGAUUGACAUUUUCUAUCGGCAGAAGGAUACAACAAAGAUAUUCUGUGAUAACAAAGCAACAAUUCCAAUGACAAAGAAUCCGGCUUUUCACAGCAAAACAAAGCAAAUUGACAUCUGUUAUCAUUUCAUUCAUGACUUGACAGUAAAAGGUGAUAUAGAGUUAAAUUUCUGCGGUACAAGGGAUCAAAUUGCAGAUGUCUUCACCAAGGCACUCGUUAUUUUGCCUUUUGUAAUUUGGGUUGCUUCUAUUUAUUAGAAUACAAGGUACGAGUUUGUCGAAAAUCUCACUGUGACCACAUCCCUUGCUGCUGGAUAUUGGUGUCAUAACACAUUUCUAGCCAGGGAUUCUGACGCUCCCAACAACGUAAAGUCCUUUCAAGCAUUGGGAUUCUGGGAAAUUUGUGGAGAAAGAAUUAUUAACUUUUGCAGGCUUAAGAAAGCAUCUAGUGGUCAAGGUGUUGAGUGCCCUCCCGAUUCCAGUGUUGAUGAGAAAGCUGCACAGUGAGCUUGCCAUCUCUUUAAGCUCAUGUUGAUCUUCUACUAUGGUAGUUUUUGUUGAAAAUGUAGCGUCAUUUACUUGUGUAUUUAUUAAGAGAUGGAAAAAAGUGUUGUGAUGUGUCUUCUACUCUCAUAGUUGUUUUAUCAAGGAAGUAGGUUUAUUUAUGUUAUUACUAAGACAAGAAAAAAGGUGUUUUGAUGUCGUCUUGAUUCUGUUGAUGUUUGAUGACGAAGCUUUUAUCGGAGUAAGUUGUUUCUAAAAAUCCUUUGUAGCAUGGUGUUGUUUCACUUUGAUCUAUGG
This is a long non-coding RNA of Capsicum annuum, 4285 nucleotides long. RefSeq lists it as uncharacterized. The transcript has 3 exons. Lineage: Eukaryota; Viridiplantae; Streptophyta; Magnoliopsida; Solanales; Solanaceae. The record is from RefSeq and is a predicted model, not a curated record.